Long non-coding RNA from Brienomyrus brachyistius, 3501 nucleotides. RefSeq lists it as uncharacterized. The record is from RefSeq and is a predicted model, not a curated record. The transcript is spliced from 2 exons. NCBI's taxonomy places the organism in Eukaryota, Metazoa, Chordata, Actinopteri, Osteoglossiformes, Mormyridae.
UUUAAGGGGAAGUAAAAUAGCGCUGCGCUCAUCUCCCAGGUCAGCUUUAAGCGUAAGUUUUGCCGGCGUCUGGCUCCGAACCUACGGCGGACUGGUGGGGCUGGAUCCCGCUGCAUGGCCGCGCUGUGACCAUGUGCCAAAGUGGAAGCCACUCAAGCAGAAAGCACUGCUUAUAAGCUAGCAGCCGCAAGUGAAACAACUGAUACCGUUACAGAAAAUGGUUCAGCACAAAAGGUUUCCGUCCUGUUCGCCUCACACCGUACGGCAGAUGCGUUUCGUACGCUUACGUGAAUGGGAAAUGCCUGCCCCCUUUUUCUACGAGGUAAUGGCGCAGCAGACAGCUGUACCUUACAAACAGAAUGGGGAAACAAUAGGGAUCCAGGAACUACGCUGCCUGGACCCCCAAUAAAAAUAAAGCCACGGAGGAUGUCAGCCCGGAGCACCCCACGCCGCUACAGCCGCCUGCCCGCAAGCAGCUGGGAGACCCGCGAUUGGCGAUGCCUUCCCACAAAGACGGGAAGCGCGCACGGAAUCCAGCCCCCAAACAUCACUCCCUUCUCCCUUAAUGUGUCAAAAAAGUGUAUUUUCCUUUAUUCUAAUCAGUUCCGCUGUCGUGGCGUUAUUCUGUUUUACAUACGCUUUACAUUUAAACGAAUUUCUUUAAUGCAGUAUAAAACGCAGUUCUAUUCGGAUUUAGCACGUCGCAUGUACAAGGAGAUAAUCUCUUAUAGUAAUUAGUACCGGUAAGAGUAAACACUCGAUACAUACUUUUGUUAUAUAUAAUUAAAAUAUGUUUUCAUUAAAUAUCAUAAAAACUGACAAAAUAUAAUAAACAAAAGUAUAAUGCUGACAGAACAGAGAUAAAUUUCCCAGUAAUUAAUCUAAAAUGAAAAGUGGCUUUUCUUGUCACUUCGUAUGUAAUAUUUCAGGACACAUUUACUUGUCUGUUAGUGGCAUAUAUGUAUCUUAUUUUGUUCAAACUGGUUUAAAAUCCAAGACUUUUUGGCUUUCAAGGGAUAAGAUGUGUUUGGGUCUGGUGAAGGAGCUUUGCGAAGCAGCCGUAGUUCUUUCUGCAUCCUCUGGUGACAACACGACUGACUGACCUUUACCGUCGCGUAUGAGCGACAGACAAAAGCAAACGGGGUGAAGCGCUUUGUUUCCGCCAUACUGCAGUAUUACGAUGCUGGAAGGCAAUCUGGGGUUAAGCCAGCAUACUUUACCGUCUCCCUUGACUACUGAACGCUAACAGCAUUAUUUGUAAUAAGUCAUCGUUAACUUUUUCUGUAAACAAGACCAACCAUUUUUUUAAAACUUACAACAUACUAAACAAACCUUAACUUGUAUAGGAGUUGCACACAACUGACUAAAUAAUUGACUUGUCAGUUUUACUGAACUUAUACCUCCACAAGCUUUGUAGGGUGAUUUCAACACAAGGAACGAAAAGCAUGCUGUCCACAACUGCUAUGUCUGGUGUGCAAAGCCUCACUCGAUACAAGGUGGGAAAAGCUACGUGAAAAUGAAGUACUGACAUCACAUGUCCCAGGAAAUCCCAGCGGUAUUUUUAAUGACUUUUCUCAAUUACUGAUAGCCAGCUGUGAACUAUCCAUACUACUACCUUCACAUGGGCAUGACUACAAACUGACAAGACACUUCUAGUAAAUUCUCUCAUUCAAAAUUGUGCUCAGGGGGGCGGCAUGGUGGUGCAGUGGUUAGCACUGUCGCCUCACACCUCUGGGACCCGGGUUUGAGUCUCCGCCUGGGUUACAUGUGUGUGGAGUUUGCAUGUUCUCCCCAUGUCGUCGUAGGGUUUCUUCCGGGUACUCCGGUUUCCCCCCACAGUCCAAAAACAUGCUGAGGCUAAUUGGAGUUGCUAAAUUGCCCAUAGGUGUGCAUGCAUGAGUGAAUGGUGUGUGAGUGUGCCCUGUGAUGGGCUGGCCCCCCAUCCAGGGUUGUUCCCUGCCUCGUGCCCAUUGCUUCCGGGAUAGGCUCCGGACCCCCCGUGACCCAAUAGGAUAAGCGGUUUGGAAAAUGGAUGGAUGGAUGGAAAAUUGUGCUCAUGUGCACAUUAUAUACAUGUAUCUUGAGGCAACUGUAUUGGAAAGGAUGCUUUAAAAAAAGUUAAUUAAAAAUAUCAUUGUGAAAGUAAAGGGUGUCUCCAAUGUUACGUAAACAUUUUUUUUUUUUUUUACUUUAAGCCCAAGUGAAAAACCACAAAACACACUUAUUUGCAAACUUUAUUCACCUACAUUAUAUACAUAUGUAAAGCUAUAAAACAAAAUACAAAACAAUUAACCUUUCUCAGCCUACAAAGCUUUGCUCUAUGGGCUCUAGCGAAACGGGGCAGCAUAUUUUCUCCCCCAAACACAGCUGCAGCCACGUGGGACUCGUCCCAGACGGACUGCCGGAGAGCGCUGCCAGGUGCCGAAGGUCACAUCAUCACCAGCAUCCUCAGCAGCCACAGCGAUGGAGGCUCCAUGCCAACAUCAGAAGUUCAGAAAAUCAGCUUCUUCUUCAGGGAACCUGGGGAGGUUAAAAACAAAAAAAGUGAACUUCAAGUGGAAGAAAUCACUGGAAAAUGAAUCUGAUGCCUCAGUUCCUCAAAUAAAACCUGGGAGCCUCUGUUGCCAUUGUAUGCGUUUCUCUACAUAUUCCACUGAAAAUGUCUCCAUUCAUGGACUUUCACAUUUAAUUUGUUUAGCAGAUGCUGUUGUCCAGAACGACAUACAAGUGAGGCAAAAAGCACAUUACAAAUGUAUUUGAUAAUUGUUGGAAUACAAACACGCAACAUUUGUAGACUUACAUUCGCUACAGGUAAAAUGCCAAUACUUAAAGCAGUCAUAAUAAUGCAUUAAGGAUACCUUUUGUGAUAGAAAAUAAUGAUGAUUACGCAAAUGCAAUAUAAUCAGUAAUUAAUAAUGAAACAUACUGGUGCUGUUGAUUUACCUAUAAUGACUGAUACAAUAUAACCUCACUCGAAUCAGUCAAACGUAUCAAGCACAAUGUACUAAUGCAAGUUUGCUUAAGUAAGGGAUUUCUAUUUUCUGUUAAGGAACUAGCAUGUUUGCCAUAAUGAAGCUUGUUCAGUAAGGGGUCCGGGUCAAGGCAAAGGAGUGACCUGAGAAGUAAGCUGUUGCAGAAGAUAUUAUAAAUGCAUGUAUGUUAUUGGAUAAGGGAUAAUGUAGAAAAGAGAACGAGGGGCACAUGAGGAAAGUGAGAUGAAGUCACUGGAUAAAGUUAACUCCGAACAGGAGAAUGUAAUCAUUCUUUUGCGGUUUCAGAUAGGCUGUCUUGUUCUGAGCUGAUAAGCGAGCCUCAACAAGCAGAAGUAACUGGUGUCUACAGACAUCCGACCUUUCCUUGAACUGUCUGAAGACUGGCGAGUUUUUGGCUAUAAAAGAUGUAUGUACUUGUUGUUCUGAGAGCAGAGCAUGAGAUGCAUGACUGCUGAGUGCCUGUUCCCUUUGAGCUCAUUGACAAACUAAAGGUUGUCAAACUCUUAAA